Molecule: long non-coding RNA, 689 nt
Filed under: Homo sapiens (human)
Lineage: Eukaryota; Metazoa; Chordata; Mammalia; Primates; Hominidae
Description: HSALNT0301689
Source: RNAcentral
CGAUUCUCGUGCCUCUGCUUCUCGAGUAGCUGGGACUACAGCUCAAAAAAUGACAAGCUUGCCAUUAAUGCGUGCCAUUCUGGGAAUAAACAGGAAGUUAACAGAGUUUUCCUUUAUACUGAGGAAAACUAAGAAAUAAGGAACUACAAGAAAUCAGUUUUACCUCUUCAGAAUAAAAAUUGCUGACUCAUCCUGAGUAAAAGGAGAUUUGGCUUUUAAUUCUAACUUACUAACUGUGGGUAAGUCCUUUUACAUCUCUGGACCUCUGUGAAGUAAGUCACUGGAAAUUAAAUGAUCUAUAAGGUCUAAUUUAAUCCUGGUCUCUGAACAAAAGGGAGAUGAGAUCUGGUAUGCAAAGAAAUGUCUGCUUUGAAUACAACAACAGACUCAGAUCCAGAAGAUGGCUAGCAAAUAUAGAAGUAGGUUAUUAAGUUUAAAAUGAUGCUCUGUGACAAAACCAGCUGUGGGUUUUUGUGCUGCUAAGCUGAUAUUAGAGAGCUUUAAGAUGGUCUGAAUUGUAAGCAAUAAUAAUUAUAUACAUAGGGGUUGUGGAUGAAGCUACGGAUGAUAAAAUGGUGACAACUGUCAAAGCUGGGUGAUGGUAAUGGGGAGGGGGUUCAUCAUACUAUUUUGUUUAUUUUGGAUAUGUUUCAAAUUUGCUGUAAUAAAGUUAAAAAAAAAAAAAAAAA